Non-coding RNA from Triticum aestivum (bread wheat), 135 nucleotides. The record is from Rfam. Lineage: Eukaryota; Viridiplantae; Streptophyta; Magnoliopsida; Poales; Poaceae.
AUCAUACUCCCUCCGUCUGAAAAUACUUGUCAUCAAAAUGGACAAAAAAGGGUGUACGUAGAACUAAAAUACAUCUAGAUACUUCCCCUUUUAUUCAUUUUGAUGACAAGUAUUUCCGGACUGAGGGAGUACAUG